Symphalangus syndactylus (siamang) is the source of this 221-nucleotide long non-coding RNA. RefSeq lists it as uncharacterized. The record is from RefSeq and is a predicted model, not a curated record. NCBI's taxonomy places the organism in Eukaryota, Metazoa, Chordata, Mammalia, Primates, Hylobatidae.
GGUUUCACCGCGUUAACCAGUAUGGUCUCGAUCUCCUGACCUCGUGAUCCGCCCGCCUCAGCCUCCCAAAGUGCUGGGAUUACAGGAGUGAGCCACCGCGCCCGGCCUUCUUAAAACAUUAAAGCCCAAAUUGAGAACUGAAAGAAACCCUCCCCGUAAUUUGGAAGAAGGCCCUGCCAACCAGGAUCCACCCCACUGGAUGAAAGAAUAGAGGAACAGCA